GAUGAGCGCUGGCGGCGUGCCUAAUACAUGCCAGUCGAGCGAACAGACGAGGAGCUUGCUCCUCUGACGUUAGCGGCGGACGGGUGAGUAACACGUGGAUAACCUACCUAUAAGACUGGGAUAACUUCGGGAAACCGGAGCUAAUACCGGAUAAUAUAUUGAACCGCAUGGUUCAAUAGUGAAAGACGGUUUUGCUGUCACUUAUAGAUGGAUCCGCGCCGCAUUAGCUAGUUGGUAAGGUAACGGCUUAUCAAGGCAACGAUGCGUAGCCGACCUGAGAGGGUGAUCGGCCACACUGGAACUGAGACACGGUCCAGACUCCUACGGGAGGCAGCAGUAGGGAAUCUUCCGCAAUGGGCGAAAGCUUGACGGAGCAACGCCGCGUGAGUGAUGAAGGUCUUCGGAUCGUAAAACUCUGUUAUUAGGGAAGAACAAAUGUGUAAGUAACUAUGCACGUCUUGACGGUACCUAAUCAGAAAGCCACGGCUAACUACGUG
This 497-nucleotide ribosomal RNA is filed under the name uncultured bacterium. Its description in RNAcentral is "partial 16S ribosomal RNA". It matches the Rfam family "Bacterial small subunit ribosomal RNA", at positions 28 to 507 of the family's 1533-position model. The record is from RNAcentral.